UUCUGAUUCAGCUGCGGCUUUCCCUCUAGCUUGACGGCAGGAGAGCAGGAUCUUGGAGGAGUGUCUCCCCUGACUUCAGGAUCUUGGAGAAGUAUCUCCCCUGGCUUCAGCAUCUUGGAGGAGUGUCUCCCCUGACUUCAGGAUCUUGGAGGAGUGUCUCCCCUGGCUUCAGGAUCUUGGAGCUGUGUCUCCCCUGACUCCAGGAUCUCAGAGGAGUGUCUCUCAGCUGCUGAUGUAUGUUAGAAGGAAACUGUGGCAGCCCGUCUAUGCGGCUGCUCAUUUUUAGAUAUUCAGAAGUUUGCUGUAAAAACCUCUACUAGAACUUAAAACAUAAAAGCCCCUGCCAGAAAGGAGUUCUAUUUUCUUUAGUUUGGAAGGAUUUUCAGGAGAUUGAAUUUCUAGAAAUAUCAGAAGUUAGACAUCAUGUGUUUUCUUAUAAUGGGACUCCUUUAUUCUUUUAAUUAUAUAAAGCAAUGAUGAUGCUAUCAGACUGGACGUCCCCACCCACAAAGGCCACAGGCUGGGUCACUUAUUGGGUGACCACUGGCUGUGAAAACACUCCCCUGACAGACUGUUGGUUAAAAUCGUGAUGGAGUGAUAGGAAGUUGCAAUUUGCAGAGAAAGUCUUUUCCAGCAAGCCUUCUGGGACAAGGCCAUUCAGAACACUAUCUGAUAAUCCAUGAGACCAAAUGAAAACAGGCCAACUUGAAACAUUGCUGUGUUCCUAAUUUGAACUAAAUGACAAGAGGGCAGAGGCCCAACUGGAUUUGUCUGAACUUGGAAACCCUUUAAGGAAGUAAUCAUUAAGGGAGAAUGAAAGUUCAAGCUGGAAGAUUAAAUGAGACACAGUUGCCUCGCGUGAGUUCAAGGCUCCGGGCCCGCUCAGGUCACACGGCAGCAUCCUGGAGGAACUACAAGACGAAAGUACUAGACUCGCAUCUGUCUCCGAGGACAUGUGGGCAGCUGCGCACUUUCCAGGAGACUGGAACAGGGGCCUGACCUUGGACAACAGAAUCAGACCUAUCGGAGAAGGUGGGGAGCAGAGGAUGUGGGUGAAGGACACCACCAGGACUGGGUGGAGGAUGCCACAGCAAGUGAAGAUGGCAUUGAGUCAGUCCAGGAAGGCUGCGUUGUCUGUUUGUCAUUGCAGCAUGGUGUGAGCAAUAUUUUCCUCUCACAAGGGAAGAAGCAGUGAUAACACAGGGAAAAAGCCUUCUUUUCUGAGACUGGGGAUUAAAUAAACCAAGACUGACCCAGCAAAUAGGAUCAUCAAAUACAAUUUAAAUGACAGUCAUAACCAUGGCAGCUUUCAUGUCUUAGCAUAAUACGUUCACUUAGGCAUCCUUUGGUUGCCUCUGCCGUCAGACUGGAGGAAUGCCCACCACCACCUCCAGCGUUGGCUGACCUCAGGUAAAGGAGGCCUGGGGGACCAUCUAGUUUGGAAAGUAAGUGCUCUAGGACUUGUGUCGCAUCUCCACCCACAGCUCUCAGGUCAGAGAUUGGCUCAAUUCGGAUCUCAAGGAGACACAACCAGAGACAGACAGGUGGAAGUAAUGAGAUUGGAAAGAAAUUGAAUGGUAUCCAAGAGUACUUCUCACAAGGGAAAGCUUAAUUAUAGACAUCCGUGCAUAUAGAAUAUUAUACAUUCAUAAAUCACAUACAUACACACAGAGGAAGAAGGAAAAACAUAGUUAAACAAGAAAGUGUUUUAACAGCCAACCACAUGUGUACAUGACAACAAACUCUUUUGAUCGUGCUGAGACUCACCAGUAAGUACUAAAGAACUGACAAAUCCUCAGAGGUGUGUGUGUGUGUGUGUGUGUGUGUGUGUGUGUGUGUGUGUGUGUGUGUGUGUGUAGAGGCAGGGAGAACAGUGUUAUAGUGAGGAUGCCUGGGCCACUGUGAAAAAUGGACUAGAGAGGCCCAGUUAUGCCUCAUAAAUCCAUCCAGUGCCAUUUUGAGCAAAUGAAGCUGAAAACUGAACUCAGAAUGACAAAGGAAAUCAUAAGUCUACAUGGCAUCUGAAAUAGUGUUUCACUCUCUUAGUGAAAAAAUAAAUUACGUAGUUUCCUUCACCUAUGGGAGAAAAUGCUACCCUGCCACACAUGCCCUUGCUGUCCACAAGUAUGACUGUUUCCACAUGAACAACUCGUCCACAACUCCACUCAUUUCAUCACACUGUCUCCUUGUGUGAGGCUGGAAAAGCCAUCCAUCCAUGCCUCGGUGUGUUUAGAAAGAAUGAGAAUUUUGACUCACAUUUCCAAGGAAGUGAAUACUAUUCUAGAAGUUGAGUAUCAAAUUAACAGAGAUGCUUCAUUAAUGCCUGGGAGCACAAUAUUGUUUUGUCCAUAAUCAGGGCUAGCACAAAUUUUAUAUAAUAUAAGAUAUAACAUUCUUACAUAAGAUAUAACACUCUUUUAUAAUAUGUAAUUUAUAAUAUAUAUUUUUAAUCUUGCAAUAGCAAAAACCCUGCUCAUAGUAACUUAAGCCAUUAGGGAUGUAUUGCUCUGUGUAAUAACAAUAACAGCAACAACAGCAAAAUCUUGAGUCCAGAAUGAGACUCCUGUAGUAAGAGAGGUUCAAAGAUCAUUCUCCCUCACCUGCCUCACCCAUUUUCUUUUCCCACUUCUAAGAUCUUCCACUCCUGCUUUUAUCCUCAAAAAAGCCCCCUUAAUGGUAACAAGAUAUCCACCAGCAUCUGCAUGCUCACAUGAUCUAGGGAAAAGGACAUUUAUCCUUAAGACUUCCAACAAGAAUGCCACAGUUUUGUUUCACUGGCUUUGACUGGCUGGGCUGAGUGGGACAUGUGAACAUUGAUAUACAAUCCAGUGAGGUAUCUGGAUAGGGCAAGCACACAUCACAUGACUCUACCCACUAGAGAUGCGUGUAGGGUUUAGGAUAGAACUCCAAGGCAAAUUACAAUAUUAGUUACAGAUGUUGUUUGGGCCCAAGUACUGACAUUUUAAAGUGUAAUUUCUACAUGUUGCCAUGUCCUCUGAAGUUUUGGACUCACCUUGAUAGUGUCCAUAGAGAAAGGAACUGGUGCUGCCUCUGGGUCUUUUUGUGCAUCUGCUUCUCAUUAGAUGGCACCCUGAGUUAGGAAGACAUACGAAAACAAAGCGGCAAUACUACGGAAAAAAAGACGUUCUAACAUGAGCUGAAGUCAGAAUAUUUUCAUUGAUGGCUAACUAGAAUUAUUCUAUAAUUACUCCACCACAGCCCUGGAAAUGAGUCACCAAGAACUGAAUAUUUAUAAGCUUCCUGACCUCAAAAACUUCAAAAUCUUACAUGGGGUCACCUAAGGAGACUGUGGAAAACUUCCAUGCAACUUAUUGGCAGAUGAUUUCAGUUCUUAUUUCAACAAGCUUGGUAUGAGAUGCAUGCCAUCUGGUUCCUGGGAAAAUUCUAGAGCAUAUUAACUGCUUGUGUGUGUCUGAGAGAGUCCUGCCAUUUAGUUGUAAAUGAUUGCACCUGCAAAUGAGAAAUAAGAAAGAGAACAUGUCUUAUCAUUUGCUCCAGGGCUGGGAGAUUUGAUGACACAAUACUGCUGCUUCAUCUACUUUCAAAAUCUGUGCCUGAUCAGUCCAGCUGUUCUCCUGCGACUAUUUUGAACAUGCUGUGUGGUAUACUAGAAUAGAGGCCUUUUAAGGGAAGAUUUCAAGAGUACUCAGUUGAAGACUGUACUGGUCUCUUUCCAUUUCUUCAAGGCAUUUCUGAUGGUUUCAAGAUAAAUUGAAAGUGCUUCUGAUUUUUAUUUUAACCCUUUUAAGAAGGAUGCUUCAGGGAGGAGUAGUUUCUGUUGGGCUGGGGUGACUGAUCUGAGACACAGGCAGUGCUCUAGCUAAUCUGAGGCUGUGCAGACACCAGCAAUACCUCCCUAUCUAUCAUCCUUUUUCACCUUCCCAGAGAGAGAAUGGUGACUCACUAGCAUUAUCUAGCCUUGAGUCUUUUACUGGGAGACUGAUGUGCUGUAACAUUUGAAAACGUUGUUACAAAGAUGCCUUUUCUAUUACUGCAAACAGUUUGUGAAUUCAACUUUUGUUUCAUUUGUAAUAUGCUGUGUACUGCCCUCAAUAUUGCAAAGCCAAGGUAGAGUACAGGAAAGUUGAUACAACAAAAAAGAUGAUGGGAUUUAGUUUGGAGAGUUUAUUUAUACCCUAUCUCCCCCAACUGGGUGGUCCAAGAAAAAUUGUUUGCAUUCCAUAGCAGUUAGCUUUUCAAAGGGGAUUAAGUGCAAUUACUGCAGAGAAAAUAGGAAGUUUCAAUGAAAUGCUACACAUGCAAGUGCUUGAGCUAAACAAAUGCUCCUUGAACAUGUCUCCUCCAACUCAGGCAUUGUGCAAGGACUCUGUUUGUCUAGUCUUCUCAAACUAAUUGCCCUGACCUGUGGAAUUCACAGCAUGAACAAAUUACUCCCAGUUGAAUGAAUAUUAUUUUCAGAAUCAGAUUGCAAGCUCCCUGUGGGGAAGAAAGGGGCUUUCUUCAUCUGUGAGUGCCAGACAUUGAGAAAGAACGAAUGGACAUAAUUGUUGGCAGGGUCCUACCCAGUCACAUCAUUCGGUUUUUCCAACACACCAGGUAGUGAACUAAAGGUGUCUUUGUGCUGUGCUGGAACUGUUACCACUGCCAGAUGGACUCUUUUCAUCCACAGAAGAAUUCAGCUACAGAUGAGACUGCAUUCCAGAAAAUAUGAAAGUCAGAGUCCUAACAGAUUCAAUCAAUUUCAGGAAAACAUUCUUAUUCAAUGCCAUGAACCUAAAAAGGAUACCAUGCCCUGUCUGCAGUAUGACCUUAGACCUCUCAGUUAUAGAAGCUGAGUGAUUAAUAAACUUGGGCCAUAACACUGGAAUGGGCAACUGAGAUUGUGACAGACUUGCUGAAUCCUUGAAUUCACAAAGGAUGAUGGGGAAUCGACAUCAAGGUAUAAAAUAUUUAAAUAUGAAUCACAAACAGAGAUAACAUAGUCUAGAGUCCAAGAAAAUAAAGAGCCAGGGACAAUGAAUGGUUUUUGACUAUGAGCUGUCUGUGAGAAACAGUAGGCAUGUAAAUGCUCUAUUCCAUAUUUGCUUUGGUUUUUCCUUACCCCAGGCUACCCUUGAACUUCAGGCAAACCUCUUGCCUUAUAGAUCAUUAUUCUCAGCUUGUUGGGUCUUUUGUUUGUUUGUGUGUUUUGAGACAAGGUUUCUCUAUGUAACAGUCCUGGUUGCCCUGGAACUCACUCUGAAGACCACUAGCUUUGAACUCAGAGAUCCACCUGCCUCUGCCUCCAGAGUGCUGGGAUCAAAGGUGUGUGCCACCACCGCGCAGCAUUUCUUGGGUCUUAAUUCACAUUUGUCUUCAGGAAAAAAAUUAACCAUGUGGUUGAUAUAUUAUGCCCCAAUUAUUGAUUAUAUAUAUUGUAUAUAGCUAUUGUACUUAUUGUAUGUAAUUUUUCUUAUGUUACAACUUUUUUUAAAAUUUUUUAUUAGACAAAAAAAGGGGAAAUGUGGUGAUAUUUUAUUUGUGCUUUAGUAAAUAGAGUUUGCCUGGAGAUCAGAGGAAAUAGCAAGACAUUUUAAGUAAACAAAGAAGUUAGGCAGUGAUAGCACACGCCUUUAAUCCUAUCACUUAGCAGGCAGGAUCUCUAUGUGUUCAAGGCCACACUAGGGAACAGAGUCAAGCAUGGUGACACACGCCUUUAAUCCUAGUACCAACCAUAGAGGCCUGGAGGUCUGACAAACAGAAAGUGACAGAGCUGUGUAGGAAGAGGAAGUGAGGUAGCUGGGCUAAGAGAGCCAAUGAGAGGGCAGAACAGCAAGGCAAUAAAGGUGUGGGUAGACAGGAAGUAACUGGCAUUUGGAAGCGAGGUGGUAAGAUAAGGUUAGCUAUGGCUUUCCCUAUUUUCCUGAUCUUUCUCUAAGGCUUUCACCCCUAUAUUUGGCUCUGUGUAUUUUAUUUAAUAAGACCAUCUAGAAAUUUGUCUACAUAACUGGACAAAAAUUAGAAGAAAAAGUGAGACAAUCCCUCACCAUUGUAUACAAGACAUUAAAGAUAACAAUAUCUUUUUCAUGUUUGUCUAAAAUUUUGAUGAAUAUCAAUUCACUUCUUAAACAUUCAGUUUUACAAUGCCAGAUUCUAAAUGGUAGGAAUUUGUUAUUUAAAGCAUUCAGCAUCACUUAACACCACUUUGAUAGCUUACAUUUAAGAUCAAUUAUAUAUUUUUUAAAUGUCUUUUAUCUUCAAAAUGUUUCACAUUACUUAUUAAAAUGUCUCUUAUUAAAAUAUACUUUAAAGGGAUUAUCCUCCCCUGGGAAGAAUUAGUUAAUUUACACUAAUGAUGUUUUGAUGAAGAGAAUUUCUUUUUGAAUUCAUGUGGUUUUUAUAAGACUGUUUAAUUGUUGAACAUUGAAUUGCAUCUUAUUUAUCAGAGCUGGGGUCGGACUUUGUGUGUCAUACAUGUGGUUGCUCUUGACAACAUUAUUUAAGUAAGUUUUAGUUGUUUCACAGGUUGGUGAAGGUCAAGGGACUAAAACUCAACUUGGGCUCCUGAGAACAGACACACCUGUGUGGUCUGAGCUGUGCCAUUGACACGAAGAAGUCCUCUUGGGGACAUAACCACUUUGCUACUUUAAGGUCUUUAACAUUUCAUGCACUGUGCAUUUCUCAGGUGAGAGUAUACUAUUCUCCACUCAAAAAAAUUUUUUUCUAUUAAGGACAUGUAGCUAAAAAUAAUAGCUUAUGUUCCAAUUAGUAAAAGUUGGCCAAAACUAUAAAAUAGGUUUAUAAGGAAAAUAAUUUACAUCUUUUGUUUAUCAUAAACAGUUCAUUUUCUUGUGUUUUAUAUUUACACCAGGGUUGGUUUUAAAACAGAAUGAUUUUGAAAUUAGAAGUUUUCAAAUAAUUAUAUUAAAAAUCUAUCACCUAUUUAAUAUUGUUUUUAGUUCUUUUUCUGUUUGUGCUGAAGAGUAGCGUUCCCUUAUUUUAUUUUAUUUUUAUAUAUUAUGAUGAUUCCUUAGGAACCCGUUUGUUUUUAAUGAGAGACAGACAGGGAGUGGAUCCAGAUGGGAGGGGAGGGGAGGAGGAACUCGGAGGAUUAGAGGGAGGGGAAACUGUAAUCCGGAUAUAUUAUGUGAGAAGAAAAUCUAUUGUCAAUAAAAGGAGAAAAAUAAAAUUCUGGACCCCAUCCCCCCAAAAGGAGCAGGAUUGUCUAUUUUCCACUCUACAGACAUGCAAUCCUGAACUCUCAUUUUGCCUUCCAUAGGAAUACAAUUCCAGUUUCCAUUUUUGCCCUCAGAUGAGGACUGGGGCAGUGGACUGGAUAGAAGGGAAAGGGGUGACUGAGGAAGGGAGACCCUGGCUGGAUUCUCACAUCCAUCUAUUCUCUGCUUUCAUCCUCAGAACCUGGACUGGCUGGUUUUGUGUGUCAACUUCACACAAGUUAGAGUCAUCAGAGAGGAAGGAGCCUCAGUUGAGGAAAUGCCUCCAUGAGAUCCAGCUGUAAGGCAUUUUCUCAAUUAAUCAAUGGGGGAGAGCCCAGUCCAUGGCGGGUGGUGCUAUUCCUGGGCUGGUAAGUCCUGGGUUUUAUAAGAAAGCAGGUUGAUUAAGGCAGGGGAAGCAAGCUAGUAAGCAGCACUCCUCUAUGACCUCUGCAUCAGCUCCUGCCUCCAGGAUCCUGCCCUGUUUGAAUUUUUGCCUUGACUUCCUUCAGUGAUGAACAGCAAUGCUGAAGUGUAAGCCAAAUAAACUCUUUCCUCUCCAGCUUGCUUUUUGGUCAUGGUGUUUCGUCGCAGUGAUAAAAAUCCCAACUAACACAGAACCCAAUGGCCACACGACUUCCUCUUUUGGUUAUUACUCUUGGAGCAGGACAGAGUGGAUCUUCUAUGUCUUAGACUGCCAGCAUUCUCCUAUUUAUUUCCUUGAGGCCUGAAUAGCAAUCUAACAAUAACUGAACAUUUAGGAUGCACACACAGAGGCACAGAUGCUGCCAGCUACUGUGGUUAUUGAUGUAGGCUUGAGUGGGAAAUGAUAGUUUGUCAAGAGCACAUGAAGAGGAAGAAGCCCAGAAACCACACAGGAAGCAGAUCCCAUAUAUUUGAGUGUGCCUUAUGUUUCUUUCAUGUCUUUGGUCUCUCUUCCUCCCUAUCUGUACAGAAAAUACACUACCCUAAGCCAGAGACAUCCUGUGAUCAAACUCUUCAGAGGUUAUAACUACCAUUAUGAGAAUGCUUCAUAUCUUCCAUCAUCAGCAGACAAAAACAAAGUCCCUUCUGUGUUUGAACGGAAUGUGCACUGACGCCAUCUGUGGUGGUUUGAAUAAAACUGGCCUCCAUAGACUCAUAGGGAAUGGCAUUACUGAAGGUGUGGGCUUUUUGGAGGAAGUAUAUCACUGGAGUGGGAUUUGAGGUUUCAGAAGCUUAAUCCAGGAUCAGUGUCCUUUUCACUGCCUGCUGCCUGCUGAUCUGGAUGUAGAACUCUCAGCUACCUCCCCAGCAUCAUGUCUGCCUGAGUGCCACCAUACUUCCCUCCAUGACAAUAAUCUGAACCUUUGAAGCAAACCUUUGAAUCUAAAAGUCAACCCCAAUUAAAUGUUUUCCUUUAUAAGAGUUGCUAUGGUCAUGGUGUCUCUUCACAGCAAUAGCAAACGCAACUAAGAUACAUCUUACCUGGGAUAGAUCCUAGCACUUUUUAAUUAAACUGCUCUAAAAGAAGCCAUGUCGUACUUCAAGGGACACUUUGAUUUGGGUCCCCACAUGGCCUUAUUUGUUACUAGCUUACUCUUCAUUUGCUGGCUAAUACAGUGCUAGCACUGUCCCAGACCACUGAUACCAGUGACAUGAAGAGCUGAACUUAAGUUUGAAGAGCUAGAGACAUGGAUCUUAAUAGUGAGACAGUAAGAACAUCCUUUGCUGGUGAUCCUAACCUUCUUCCCUUAUUACAGAUGAAUAGUUACAGAUUAGAAAAAUAAUUACAGAUAAAUAUUAGUUACAGAUAAGAAAAAAAUAACUGUUUAGCAUGGCUUCAAUGGUCUUUUAUAAUCUUUUGACUUUUUCAGCUGCAAUCAUCUCUCUGCCCUUAACUUGAAAAAUUUGGAGUUUGUUGAACAUUUCUUUUUCCUUCUUCUGGCCCUUUGUACAUAGGGUUGCUUUUGCUUCUAGGCUCUUCCAUCAUGUUUAUGUCCUGGUUAAGUCUUCCCCUGUACACCGACAUAGAUUUAUUUCUUUUGACAAGUGGCUGAUUGGUUUCCACAGGAAGAUGAGCACCACACUGCAGUGCCCCUGCCAGAAGGGUUUGUUAGGAUGCAACCCCUCACACUCUUACCACCUACUCUCUCUUCCUCCUGAUUAUGCAUCCCUCGACAAAAGGUGAUGCUGUAACCAUGGCUUUUAGCUAUUUGUUUCUGCAACUGAAACAUCCAUGGGUAGGAAAAAAAAGAGCACCUUCAUCAGUAAGUCCCAAAGGAAAUGAACCAUUUUUACCUAAGACUGAAAAAGAACUUCUGGGGAGUUGGACUCUAAAUUGUAACUCUGGGCUGUAGAAAACUAUUAACUAUUGACUGACUCAUCAAUCAUUUGCUAAAGCUCCUCUCCUUUGAUGCAUAACUUUGGAGAAACACACUUGAUAAUGAAUGAUGCCCAAGAAAAGAAGAAAGGAUGGCCAGUGAGCAUGGAUUAGACUUUACCAUUGUUACUGAUUAAUUCAUUAUUUGAAACAUUUCAACAGUGGGUGAUAUUAAACUGAAUGAAAAGCUAAAACCACCAAAUAGCUUAAGGAGAAUGACUUGAGUAGUGAUAAUGAUGGUCAAGAAC
Molecule: long non-coding RNA, 9785 nt
Organism: Peromyscus californicus insignis
Lineage: Eukaryota; Metazoa; Chordata; Mammalia; Rodentia; Cricetidae
Exons: 3
Source: RefSeq, a predicted model, not a curated record